This 417-nucleotide RNase P RNA is filed under the name Falsiroseomonas selenitidurans. RNAcentral's name for it is "RNase P RNA component class A". It matches the Rfam family "Bacterial RNase P class A". From Rfam's summary of the family: Ribonuclease P (RNase P) is a ubiquitous endoribonuclease, found in archaea, bacteria and eukarya as well as chloroplasts and mitochondria. Its best characterised activity is the generation of mature 5'-ends of tRNAs by cleaving the 5'-leader elements of precursor-tRNAs. Cellular RNase Ps are ribonucleoproteins. The record is from RNAcentral. Lineage: Bacteria; Pseudomonadati; Pseudomonadota; Alphaproteobacteria; Acetobacterales; Roseomonadaceae.
CCGGGUGGCUGGGCGACCGCUGGCGGCGUGGCGACACGCUGCUGGAGGAAAGUCCGGGCUCCACGGGGAUACGGUGCCGGCCAACGGCCGGCGGGGGUCAAACCCCAGGGAAAGUGCCACAGAGAGCAAACCGCCACGACGCCGACCCGCAAGGGCCGGCCUCGCGGUAAGGGUGAAAGGGUGCGGUAAGAGCGCACCGCGCUUCCGGCAACGGCGGCGGCAGGGCAAACCCCACCGGGAGCAAGGCCGAAUAGGGGCGAUCGGCAGAACCUGGCGCAAGCCAGGCGGAUGCAGGGGCAUUCCCGCCCCAUCGCCCGGGUUGGCCGCGAGAAGCCUGCGGCGACGCAGGCUCCAGAGGAAUGGUCGCCCACCAUCUUCGGAUGGGGACAGAACCCGGCUUACAGGCCACCCGGCGCC